GACGGAGGAUGCAAGUGUUAUCCGGAAUCACUGGGCGUAAAGCGUCUGUAGGUGGUUUAAAAAGUCCACUGUUAAAAAUUGAAGCUUAACUUCAAAGAUGCCGUGGAAACUUUUAAACUUGAGUAUGAUAGGGGUAGAGGGAAUUUCCAGUGGAGCGGUGAAAUGCGUAGAUAUUGGAAAGACCACCAAUGGCGAAGGCACUCUACUGGGCCAUUACUGACACUGAGAGACGAAAGCUAGGGUAGCGAAUGGGAUUAGAAACCCUUGUAGUCC
This 273-nucleotide ribosomal RNA is filed under the name uncultured bacterium. RNAcentral's name for it is "partial 16S ribosomal RNA". It matches the Rfam family "Bacterial small subunit ribosomal RNA", at positions 524 to 796 of the family's 1533-position model. The record is from RNAcentral.